GAUGAACGCUGGCGGCGUGCCUAAUACAUGCAAGUCGAGCGAACAGACGAGGAGCUUGCUCCUCUGACGUUAGCGGCGGACGGGUGAGUAACACGUGGAUAACCUACCUAUAAGACUGGGAUGACUUCGGGAAACCGGAGCUAAUACCGGAGAAUAUAUUGAACCGCAUGGUUCAAGAGUGAAAGGGGGUUUUGCUGUCACUUAGAGAUGGAUCCGCGCCGCAUUAGCUAGUUGGUAAGGUAACGGCUUACCCAGGCAACGAUGCGUAGCCGACCUGAGAGGGUGAUCGGCCACACUGGAACUGAGACACGGUCCAGACUCCUACGGGAGGCAGCAGUAGGGAAUCUUCCGCAAUGGGCGAAAGCCUGACGCAGCAACGCCGCGUGAGUGAUGAAGGUCUUCGGAUCGUAAAACUCUGUUAUUAGGGAAGAAAAAAUGUGUAAGUAACUAUGCACGUCUUGACGGUACCUAAUCAGAAAGCCACGGCUAACUACGUG
This 497-nucleotide ribosomal RNA is filed under the name uncultured bacterium. RNAcentral's name for it is "partial 16S ribosomal RNA". It matches the Rfam family "Bacterial small subunit ribosomal RNA", at positions 28 to 507 of the family's 1533-position model. The record is from RNAcentral.